CCCUUAGAUGUUCUGGGCCGCACGCGCGCUACACUGAUGCAUUCAACGUGUCUAAAACCUGCUCUGAUAGGGGUGGGUAAUCUUUUGAAUGUGCAUCGUGAUUGGGAUAGAUGAUUGCAAUUUUUCAUCUUCAACGAGGAAUGCCUAGUAAACGCAAGUCAUCAGCUUGCAUUGAUUACGUCCCUGCCCUUUGUACACACCGCCCGUCGCUCCUACCGAUUGAAUGAUCCGAUGAAUAUCAUGGAUUGAGGAUGCAAGUAGGUUCGCCUAUCUUCAUCUUCGAGAAGUGAAGUAAAUCUUAUCAUUUAGAGGAAGGAGAAGUCGUAACA
Molecule: ribosomal RNA, 329 nt
Filed under: uncultured eukaryote
Lineage: Eukaryota
Description: partial 18S ribosomal RNA
Rfam family: Eukaryotic small subunit ribosomal RNA
Source: RNAcentral